This 135-nucleotide ribosomal RNA is filed under the name Methylobacterium sp. 6(22-10). Its description in RNAcentral is "partial 16S ribosomal RNA". It matches the Rfam family "Bacterial small subunit ribosomal RNA", at positions 372 to 524 of the family's 1533-position model. The record is from RNAcentral. Lineage: Bacteria; Pseudomonadati; Pseudomonadota; Alphaproteobacteria; Hyphomicrobiales; Methylobacteriaceae.
UGGGGGCAACCCUGAUCCAGCCAUGCCGCGUGAGUGAUGACGGCCUUAGGGUUGUAAAGCUCUUUUCUCCGGGACGAUAAUGACGGUACCGGAGGAAUAAGCCCCGGCUAACUUCGUGCCAGCAGCCGCGGUAAU